RNAcentral lists this long non-coding RNA (26113 nucleotides) under Glycine max (soybean). Its description in RNAcentral is "long non-coding RNA (GMAX_LNC000282)". The record is from RNAcentral. Lineage: Eukaryota; Viridiplantae; Streptophyta; Magnoliopsida; Fabales; Fabaceae.
GAUACUCAAGAUACCUUGCAAAUUCAGGCCUAGCUGUUGUUUUCUUUUUCCUACGAAGAGCCAAAAAGCUUAGAAGUGGGUGACUCUUCUUGUCACUAUUAUUAUUACCCUUCUUUGUGGGGUUUCUCUUUAGAUUGAUCUCCCCAUAGGUGGAACCAAGAGCCAUUUUUCUUGAAGAAUUGGAUCCCCAAGAAGGCAAACUUGUGCUCCUCUUGAACCCCUCAUGCAAAAGUGCAGUGGUGGCAGAUUCUUUACCUAAUCUUUCAUACCCUCUCCGAGUAGUCAUGGAUCUAAACAUAGUUGAACUUGAAUCUUGUUGUGAAAGACAAGAUUUUGAUUGAUGUACUCAGUACAGUGUAAGUAAAGAAGUGAGAGCAAAGGGGUUGGUGGGGAUUGUAGAUGAGAGCUAACUUGGAGUAGCACGCAUGGUGGAGAGCUUUAUAUAUGCAUCUUUGUUUAGGUCAAGUUUGGUUAGCUAGUAGUUUGGUCCUUCAUGCUUUUUUAUUCAAUAAUAUACUAUCAUGUUUUGAAUGGUUACUAUAUAGACGUGUGAUUUGAAAACUUUAGUUUUGCAACUUAUGUUGACUAUUUCUUUGGUCCCCACAAUUAUAAGAUUUUAUAUCCAAUUAUCAGAGGGCGAGCCCUGGUGCAGCGGUAAAAUUGUGCCUUUGUGACUUGUUGGUCAUGGAUUCGAAUUCGGAAACAGCCUCUUUGCAUAUAUUAGGGUAAGGUGAAGUUUUUUUUAUAUCCAAUUAUCAAUUGUUGUGAAGUAUAUAUCCACUUCCACGAAAGUACAUGAAAAUUAUAAAUCUACUCAUCAACUUAUAUGCAGGAUAUUUACUCCUCGAGGCUCGAGCAUUGCACGCGAAUUAGACAUGUGCCUAAAGUUGAGGACUUGUGAUCACAAGUUUCUUCACUACCACAAUCACAUUUUACAAUGUCACAAGAGGAGUGUGAGGGGUUGAUCCAACAAAAUGCUUGGGUGGCUACAUUGAUUGGUUCCACCAAGAAUCCCAAUUUAGCUCCCUACUCGUCAAAAGCAGAGUAUAGUUCGGGUGACUUUUCAUGCUUGUCAAAUGUAUUUUUCUAAUUAUGUAUUUAAUGAUAAUCGCAUUUGCAAGUCCUUAAUUAUGUCAAAUUCCUUUUGUAGGAAUGGUUUGAGAAGAUUUUCGAGGCUUGAUCUAAGGAUUAAUUGCAAACACUAUGUCAAACACUAAGUCCUUAAUUAUGUCAAAUUCCAUUUGCAAGUGGAUUGGAGCUUGAAACACUAUGUCAGACACAUUUAACAUCUAGUAGACUGACAUUGAGGCGAGUUUCACAUAUAACCAUUUUUAAUUUCCAUUAAUAUUUGAAUUAUUUGUAUUUGACUUAUAUAUUAUAUUACUAUGUCACUCUUAUUUUUAUUUGACUAAUUAAUUAUCUGAGUCUCUUAUUUUAUUUAUCAAGUUAUUUAACAAAAAAAUUAAUUGUAUAACAUUUAAAUUAACUAUACAAACUAACUUAAUUGCAUAUAAUUAGUUUUUGGAACUAUUUAUCCCAUUCUGAAAACUAAUUUUUGAAAUUUACUUAAAUGUUAAUUGUUCACCAUUAGAAAUUCACAUUUGGUCUAAGUCAUCUGAACUCACUCAUGACUUUAGUUCGGUUCUCAAUUCAUCCUAUUGAAAAGUGAUAUAUAUAUUCCUCUAUAAAUUCUCGUUGAGAUUGAUGGUCUUUCAUGACCUUGAAAGGGGGACAAACAUUCCCCUCCUAUAAACUUUUUUACACACAAAAAAAAUGGUAUUUGUUUCAAAACCUAAAUUUGGAAAUGUAAUUAAUCUUAUAACAUCCAAAAAUAUUAAAAUAUUAUAAAACUAAAUUGUGAAAAUUAAUGACUCAUUUUGAGUGAUUGUGAGUUUUGACCUUUUUAUUUCAAAUGCAAUUUUCUAAACAAAGCAUGUUUAGUUAAAAUAAUUUUUAACUCAAUUUUAAAAUAAUUUUAAUUUCAUUUUUAAAACUAAGAAAAAAGUAUUUGUGAAUUAGGAUUUUAGUUUAAAAAAAAUACUUACUACAUUUGAUAAUGAUGCUUCCCAAUAUCAUCGUCACCAUGUGAUAAUAUAUGCAUCUUUGUUUAGGUCAAGUUUGGAUAGCUAGUAGUUUGGUCCUUCUUGUUUUUUUAUUCAAUAAUAUAAUAUACUAUCAUGUUUUGAAUGGUUACUAUAUACACGUGUGAUUUGAAAUUAAAGCUUCAAUUGUGCAACUUAUGUUGACUAUUUAUGUCGUCCCCACAAUUAGAAAAUUUAUAUUCAAUUAUCAAGUUGUGAAGUAUGUAUCCACUACUGCCUAUUACCACGAAAAGACAUAUAGAUUAAUUUAACUCCAUUCAUGAAAUUAUUGUGAUGGUAUACAUCUUAUAAAGUACUUCAGAGGAUAUAAUUGGUUCUUCAUUUUUAUUUGUUUUUUUUUAACAAGUAUGGCUAAAGCACAAAUAUUUGGUUCUUCGACAUGUACUGAAGUUUGUAUUAUAUUUUUUUCAGUUUGUAUUCUGUGUCGAGCAGGAUUUAAUGUUGAUUAUAAUAUUUAUUUCAUGUUAAUUUAAUUGAUAAUGUAUACAUGAUCUAAUAUAUUAUACAUUAUCUUCUGAUAUUUAAGUUAUAUUGGUGUGAAACAAGAUUGUCUUUAAUAAAACAUUUUUAUGGUAUCUUUCAUAAAAAUAUAAAAUUGAUUUAAUUCAUGAUAUUAUUAAGUAACUAAUUUAAAAUUAUAUUAUAAUAAAUAUAUUUCAUAAAAUACUUUUAAUAUGUUUAAAUUUAUUAUAUAUUGUAGUAAAAAUAAUUUAACAGUAAAUAGUGAUAAAAAAUUUCUUAUAUGCAGUUAUUAAAAAGAGUAAAAAUAUUUUUUUAAUAAAGUAUUAACUAAUUAAAUUUAAAUAAAUUUUUAGCAUAGAAAACUCAACCUCAUAAUAUGAAUAUUAUUCAAAAAGAUAUUAAUUUAUGAAAUUAUUUUAUAAAAUUUAUAAUUACAAUUAAUUUUAUAGGAUUUCAAAUUAAAAAUAAAAAUUGUUGAGUUUUUUUUAUAGGAAACCGCAUUAAAUAUUUGCAAAAAGAGUUUUCUCGCUCAUAAAAGUAUCAAGUAAAAUUGUCUCUCAUGAAUAAUACUUAUAAUCUUUACUCUCUGUUAUAAAAAAAUAAUUUAAUUUAUGACAUUGUUGAGUAAUUAAUUUGUAAUAAGAAUAUAUUUAAUAUAUUAAAAUUAUUAUAUAAAUAAUAAUUAGUAAAAUUUUUGUAUAUGAAAUUAUUAAACAUAAAGUUAAUUUUUUUCUAAUGAAUAUAUAACUAAUUAGAUUUAAAUUAUUUUUUAUUAUUAAAAUUUUAACCUCAUAAUAAGAAUAUUAUUCAACAAAAUAUUUAUUUGAGAAUUAUUUAAAAUUAUUUUAUACAAUUUAUAUGUAAAAAAUGAUUUUUUUAUAAGAUUUCAAAGUAAUAAUUAAAAUAUUAUUGAAUUUUUAGAAUGCAAUGGUUUUAAAUAAUCAAAGAAAGAAUUUUGUCGUCUAUAAUCUUUAACAAGAUUGUUUCCCAUAGAUGAUACUUGUAAUAAAAGAUAAAAAUUUCUCAUUUUUAAUGAUGUUAAGCAUGAUUGGCUAUUUUCCAGCAAAAAAAGAAAGCAUGAUUGUCUAUUGUGAAUAAUAUUUAUAGUCUCUACAUAAAAAUAGAACCAAUUUAAUUUAUGAUAGUAUUGAUAAAGAAUUUAAAAUUAUUUAUAAUAAAUAUUAAUCAACACAAUAUUUAUUUAUGAAAUAAUUUAAAUUUAUUUUAAUAAUCUUUACGUAAAAAUGUUUUUAUGAUUAUAUAUACUAAUAUAAAAUAUAGAAUAUAAUUUUUUAUAAUUAAAAUAGAUAAAACAGUAAUAAAACUUAAAUAAAAUAAUAUUUAUUAUAAAAAAACUAUUUGUAGGUAAAAAAAAAAUAAAAAGAAAAAAAGUGAGAAAGAAAAGAGAAAAGGAGUUCGACAAGAGUUGUGUUUUUUCAGAAAAUAGAAGACAUAAAAAUCCAAAAAAAGAAAAAUAAUUAAUGUGAGAUCUCCAAAACUUAUAAUAAUUAUAUAUAUUUUUUCUUUUUUUUUAUCUCUUUCUUAUUUGGUGUCAAUGGGUAUAUUGGGUUUCCAUGUAUAUAUUAUUAUUAUUUUAUAAGUUUGCGCGUCAUCAAAUUCCUUCAAAUUUAAAAAUAAAUUUGCCUCUAAACAAUUGAUCCAACUAAAAUAGGAUCUAAUGAAGCAGACAAGCAUAACAUAAUUGAAUCCAUCAAUUGCAAAAUAUCCUUUAUUCCUCAAAAUAGUUAAACACGCACAUUUCAAAUACAUGGAUUAUUUUAGUGUAUGCCAAUAUAAUCACUAGUUAUAAUCAGUUGUACCUUACGACAUCAGCUAUGUGUUGUAAUUUGCCCAAAAUAUUUAUGAAUUUUGAUUUAUCCAAAAUAGAAUAAAAAGAAGCUGUUAUUAAAAACAAAAUCAUAAUGAACUACCAAUUCAGUGGGGAAAAAAAAGUCUGUUUAUUAACUUCUUUAAUUAUAUUACUAAAACCUAUCGAAAAAGGGCAGAUGAACUUUUGAUGUUUGCAAAUUAUUCAAAUGAAUGAUUAAUUAAUAGCAAAAGUAACCAUACUCUACAUCUUGUCAAAGUAAUUGGACAUAAUUAAGAAUCAAAUAGUAGUAGUACUAUAUAAACUCUUAACGUAUUAAUAUGCCAACAAAUUAAUUUUGCAUUCAAACCCGAAGCAAACUUGCUAUGAUCAUUUGUAAUACAUCACAGGUUUAUUGGAAUUCAAAUCCCACAUGCCUCCUUCCUUGAGGUACUCAAGAUACCUUGCAAAUUCAGGCCUUGCUGUUGUUUUCUUUUUCCUACGAAGAGCCAAGAAGCUGAGAAGUGGGUGACUCUUCUUGUCACUAUUAUUACCCUUCUUUGUGGGGUUUCUCUUUAGAUUGAUUUCUCCAUAGGUGGAACCAAGAGCCAUUUUUCUUGAAGAAUUGGAUCCCCAAGAAGGCAAACUUGUGCUCCUCUUGAACCCCUCAUGCAAAAGUGCAGUGGUGGCAGAUUCUUUGCCUAAUCUUUCAUACCCUCUCCGAGUAGUCAUGGAUCUAAACAUGCUUGGAUCUUGUUGUGUGAAGGAAAAGAUUUUGAUUGAUGUAUGAUUCAGUGUGAUUAAAGAGGUGAGAGCAAAAGGGUUGUGGAGAUCGUAGAUGAGAUAACUUGGAGUAUAGCACAACAUAGUGUGGAGGGCUUUAUAUAAUUGCAUCUACGGGGUCAAGUUUGGUUGGCAAGUAUAGUUUGGUCCUUCAUGUGUUUUUUUAAUUAUUUAAUAAUGUAUCAUGUUUUGAAUGGCUACUUCACCCGUGUGAUUUGGAACCAUUCAGUUUUUGCAAAUUUUGUUGACUAUUUCUGUUCUGCCGUCCCCACAAUUAUAAAAUUUAUAUCCAAUUAUCAAUCAAGUUGUGAAGUACUAUAUUUCCACUUCCACGAAGGUGCAUAAAAAGUUCUCUCUCUUUCCGCUAAUAUUUGAAAAAGACAUUUUUUUUGUAUGCCAAUCUUGAUUUUCUUGGUCAAAUUGUCCCUCGGCCAUCACACCUAAUAGUAUAUCCACCUUUUAAAUUUGUAAUGCCCGCAAAAAAAAUUAUGCCUUUAAACAAUUUAAUAAUUGAUGAGUAGACAAUGUAAUUAGUUUGAAUGAGGCAAAUAGUACUAUAAAAAUGUUAAAUGAAUUGGUCUUACUUUCUAACCGCCACUUUGUGUAAAUUAAUCUAAACAACUAAUACUUGUUAAUGUAGAUUGUAUGAUUUCGUAAUUGUUUUUUGUUUUUGCCUAUAAAAUAUUUAUGAUGAACGUUUCAAGAUCGAAUCAGUCAAAAAUAAAUUUAUCCUUGUUAUGAGAUUACGGAAACGGUGGUCUCAUUUGAUGAGGCAAAGUGGCACAACUGCUCAACGAACAAGCAAUGCAUUUAACAAAAUUGAACCUUUUACAACUCCAGCUGCUGUUACACGUCCUGUGUCCAAAGCAGACUUUGUUUUGAACGAUGUUAAAAGCCUUUUUUAACUGAUGUUAAAGGUCUUUUUAAUAGUAGUGGAGCUUGUGUGCUACAGAAAUUAGACUAGUAUAUAUACUGAAAAUUAUUUUUUUUUUUUAUAAAAAAACUGAUUGUUUUCCAUUUCGUUUCCUAUUUUCUUCUCAUGAGUUAAACAAGUCUUCCCACCUCAGUUAAAAAUUAUUCUCCUCCCAUUGACUACGUACAAUUUCUCCUCUCCUAUCCCCUCUCAUUCUUUAAACAACACAGUGCACGACUUCAAUUCAUAUAUAUCCUAUACAAGAACAAGUCUUUCACCCUUUAACAUUUCUAUUAAAUUAUUUUCCAAAGAUGUUAUCAUGAGAAAUAAUCUCUCUCUUCAUCACUAUUUUUGGCCUAGAAUAUCAUAUAUAUAUAUAUAUAUGGUCUUAUUUUAAAAUUAAUUAAAAACUAUAUCUAUUUAAUAAAAAAUUCACUAUUUCAAAAAAAUUAAAAUAAAUUUUAAUUUUGAUGAUAAAUGCAUUUUAAAAUUACUACAUAUUAAUAUUACAUCAACCAUAAACAAUAUAAACAAUCAAAAUUAAUUAUUAUAUUGUAUUAUAAUUCAUAUAUUUCUAGGAUUUGUUUUUAAUUUAUACUUUUCAUAUAGGAAAAAUAGUUUUCAAAGUGAAAAAUAAAUGUUUGAUAAUGUUUUCCCUUACUUCAUAUUUAUUAUAUGAGUGAUAAACUAUGUAAGUGAAAUUACUCACGUCAUCAUUAUGAUUAUGUGCUAUAAAAUUAUAUCUUUAAUAAUUUUAUAUUUAAGUUAAUUAUUUUAUAUUUUUUUGUUUUUAUCUUAUUUAAAUAUUAAUAAAUAUGAAAUAUAUAGUUUAUAAAAAAAUAUUUGAUAAUUUAAUUUAAUAAGCUAUAAUAUUUAAUAUAUUUUAUUUUAUAAUGAUAAACUCAUGAAAAAAUUGAUAAUUAAUGUGCUUAGUUUAAAAAAAAUGCUCAUAAUACUUAAAAACUCUUUUCAGAAUGAAUUUUUGUAAUACAUUGUAAAUUAAUAACAUUUUUUAAAAAUAUUUUUAUGUAUUUAAAUUAUCUUAUAUUUAAAUAAACACGUGAGAUAAGAAGAAUAUAUGUGCAAUGCAAAGGUUUGAUAAAUUUUAAUUUGAAUAAUUAUAAAUUCAUAUAUUUUUUUAAUUUAUAUAUCUUGUAUAUGUAUUAUAUCAAUAUUGUUAUCUUGAGACACAACAAAUUAUGAUUGUUUUCAAUAGGCUUAAUAAGAUAAUAUAUGCUCAAUUAAAAAUAUAAUUAAUCUUUUGAUUCAAUUUUAAUGUAAUUUUAUUUAAUAUAAUACUAAACAUUUUAAAAACGUAAUAAUUUUAUUUAUUUAUAUUAUUUUAAAAAAUAUUAAAUAUAAAUAAUACUAAAUACUCACAAAAAAUUAUAAUUUAAUCAGAUGUGUAUCCCACUAGUAUAUUAUUAAAGUAUUAAAAUAAUUACUCAUCAAGGUCAAACCAAAGCUUACUGACCUGUUGUAGGGAAAUCAUAUCUUACUAGUUAUAACACGAAUCUAAAGAAUGAUCAAGGGUGAAAUCAUAUCUUACUAAACUUAGCUGAAAUCCAUAAGCAUUCCAUAGUGUUUUAUAUUCUUAAAAUAAAUUAUGAUCUAAGAUUUAUAACACGAAUUCCAAAAGUUUGUUGGCCAUAUAAAUGCAAGCCCCUAUAUGCUUUUGUUUGUAUGUAUUUACUUUUUAAUUUUUGCUAUAGGUAGGAUGAAUACUUACAUACAAAUAGUUAGGGAGGGAAUAAUAAUACUACAGAACGCGGAAAAUGAUAAAAAUAACGAGGUAUAAGCAGGAUCCCACAUUGCUAGGGAAGGGAGCUGCUCUCUUGCAAAGGGACAUGUUCAAAAACAGAACAGUGUGUGCUAUCGCUCUUCUGAGUUGAAUUUGUUCCAAGCUUCCUGGAUAUUGAAAAGGAGGCAAAGAAAGGAAAACAAAGAAAGACAAAAUGAGAGGUCGAUCAUAAUAAUCAAUUAAUAAAGUCCAAGGACUAAGAUGCUCCAUCGAACUUGGAUAGAUCAACUUGCCAAGUAAGAAACAAAGAACAGAAGAGUGAACAUUUAUUGACAUUCAAGCUUGGGGUAGGAAGUUUGGUAAAAGGUGCCAGAUACCAACCUCACCAAGCACAUGAGCAUUUAUCAGCAUGCUUGUGUAUUUGCAUACUUUCAUGUGCUAACGUGUAAGUGAUGUGCAUGUGACUUGAUAGAUUUUAGUUAUGCAACAUUAUUAUGGUUUGCUCUGACAAAUCCUCCUUUGCAGAUGGUUCAAAAUAAAUCAACUGAAAGAUGGCAUGCAUGACAUACCUUUAGGAGAUCAAAGACCUUCUCACAUAUGUAUUUGUUUUGAAUACUCGCUCCGCGUUGCUGUAACUUGUCAGGAUGGACACAAAGGGUGGCCUUCCUAUAAGCCUUCUUUACAGCAGCAGAAGUAAUGACGUCCGUGAGUGGGAUUGGCUGCCACCCACUAUCAGGCCCAAGAAUCUGACAAAAUGAAAAAAUUAGAUAAGGAACAGCAAAUAGAGUUUUGUUAUGAGGAUAAGCAUAUGUUCCUAAUAGGGGGAAAAAGGAUGAUAUAAGGAAGUUAAGCCACCAAUUUAGUCUCAUCUGUUUGAGACUUGUUUAGUGGACCUUCAAAUGUCACCCUUACAGUGUUGAGUAAAAAGAAAUUACAGCUAAGAGAAGAAAGGAGUGACAUGUGUUAUUUCAGAAUACAAAAACCUACAUAUUGCAAGGUUGAAAGUAAUGCACGCAGGUUUCCUUCUUUUCCACUUGACCACCUCCGGACUUCAGUAUCCAGAGUUUCUGCUAAUCUCUGCAAAGAGUAACAGACUGGAGUAAUCAACAAAAGUGGAAACAACAAUUCAGAAGCUAAAAAGAGCAACUGUUUGGAUAUAAGCUCACAUUUCUCUCAGCUUGCUCCUUCUGAGCUACAAGGUCACGCAUGUUCUUUUCUUCCAAAGCUUUUGCCUUACAUUCACACAAAACUCAUGGUCAAUCUCAUUUAUUUUAUAUGUACAAUUUAUGCAUGAUUAACAUAACAAGGUUGAAGAACUUACUGCACGCUCAGCUGUUCGGCGAUACCUCUCCAGUCUAGCUCUACACCUCUGAGCUGAUUCGCCUUCUCGUUCUGAUCUUUCAGAAAAAGAGGAAGCUACAGUAGAGGAUAAUGCCUGGUUAGGAUUAUAUCAAGUCGAAGCAGUAAAAUGUUGAUUGAAAUUUUAUAUUGAAGUACUGCAGGGGUUUCACACAUCACAUACCACCAUAAACUGAGGAAUAUGGAUAUCUGGAAUGAGUGAAGGAGGUAGAGUUCUGACAACGUGGAUCCAGCAUAUCCUGCCAUGCAAUUAUUAUAAAUUCAGUAGGCAAUUAUGCAAUUGAUCACUUGCAUAUUUAAGUGGAUCUGUGUAUACUUACUGAGGAUGAAGAGCCCUGUGUUCCACCAUUUCUGAAAGAAACACUAAAUUUGUCAGAGACAGAUCUCUCUAAUCGUUCUCUGGACUCGAAUGCAGCUCUAUCAACCUUUACUUUUUCCAUUGCACGCUCUCGAGCCUCAGCAGUUGCUCUUUCUACAGCAGUUCGCUCUGCUUUCAAUCUGGCUUCUGCAGCUGCCUUAUCAGCAUAUGUUUUGUCCCUGGCCUCAGCACAUGCCUUUUCAAGUCUUUCUCUGGCCUCAGCCAGUGCUCUUUGUCGAGCUUCUGCAGUUGCUCUCUCAAAUGCAGCCCUUUCUGCUCUCUCACGAGCAUCCGCAAAUGUUCUAUCACGAGCCUCCAAAGUUGCUUUAUCAACUGCUAUUCUAUCUUUUUCUCUUUCCCUUUCCCUCUCAGCCUCCAGCAUUGCUCUGUCAACAGCCAUUCUGUCUUUCUGUCUUUCCCUUUCUCUCUCCAUCUCCUCUUCUAUCUUUCUGAGACGGUCUUUUUCCAACUCUCUUUCUCUUCUUAUCCUCUCACCAUCUUUGUCAACUGAGGCAGAAGUUUCAUCAAGAAUUUUCUCUUUGCUUCUGGUGGAAUGUGAUACAUGAGACCUUUGAGAAGGUUUCUGGAUAUUUACCGGGUCUUGCACUGUAGCAGGUUCAGCAGCUAUUGUGUUCCUUCUGUAAUCGCCAUUUGUUACAAUUUUCCUCUCUCUACUUUGAGGAUCAAAUUCCAUUUGAGGGGCUGUCUUAGUUUUCUCAGUCCUUGUCAUUUCACAACUAAUACUAUGCUCAUCACCAUCAACAUUUGUUGCAGUGGAAGCCGCCUUUCCUGAAUGCUCUGCUUCUCCUUGGGACAUUUCUGAAGCUCCUUUUUUCCCUUUAUCCUUUAGAUUUUCCACACACACCUCUUCCAAUUUCUUUCCACCAACUAUGCAGUCACUUCCUGUCUUUUCAAUUUCCUGGUCAGAAAUAGGGUCUUGACAUACCUCUGGUUUUCGAAUAUUUUCUUCAUGAAUGGAGGAUGACUGAGCUGCCAGAAGAUUUUCAUCACUCUCUGUUUUCCAUGCCUCAUUGGUUUCUUUUGAAAAACUCAUGUUUAUCCCUUCUCCACCUUCCAUUUGUUCCAAAGGUUUGUCCAAUCCCUUAUCUUUUUCAUUCUUAUCAGCAUCUUUGAGCAUCCUCUCAGAUUGCUUGGAGUGACUAUCCUCAUGUGAUAUAGCCACAAUUACUUCCCUGUCAAAUGCUUGGUUUGAUGGGCUCUCUAUUUCUUUCUUCCUCUGAGCCUCAUUUCCACUAUACAUUUCUAGCUCUGGAGCUUGUUUCAGAACUUUCUGAACCCCUUUGCUAUCAAUCACAUCUUUUAGUCUAUUUCCUUUUCUAUACCCAUCAUAAUUCUCACCAAGUUUUUCUUUGCCUUGAUCUCUUUCAUAUGCCUCAUUUUCCCCCUGCUGGAAAGGCACUCUAGUUAUUUUCUCAUUCAUUUCCAGUUCAAAGUCUUGUUGAACUCCCUUUUCAUACUGUACCUGCUCAGGAGCAUGCUUUAAGCCUUCAUCAUUUUCUUCCAAUUUAAAAGAACCUUUAAGACUUUUCUCAAUUUCUUCAUUUUCACAUGUCUCUUUCAGUUCCUUCUUGUUCUGAAACUGUUUAUCUUGUUCAAGGAUGACUAUAUUUUCUCUUUUGCCAGUCAUAUUUUCCUCAGGACUAUCCAGAUUAAAGGUCUCAUUUGAUCUUUCAAAUUUUUCCAGCAUCACAGAACCUUUCACCCUUUGCUCAACCUCUGCAACUCCAAGAGCAAAAGCUUCUCUUUGAAUUUUUCCAUUUUCUUUCAUCUUAGACUGCUUGAGCUUUCUCAAACUCAGUUGUUGCUGUUCAUCCUCUUUGAGUUUUUUCUCAUUUUCAAUAUGUUUUGUGCUCUGCUGAACUUCAUUUAGCAGUUGUCUAUCAACCUUUUUUGGUUUCUCACCCUCCACUCGUUUAAGCUCCCUGCAUUGUGUCUCGGGCAUGUCUUUUAAGCUUCCUGAUUGGUCAACUUUAGGUACUUUCUUGUCAGUUUUUCCAUGCGAGCGAACAAUUCUUGCCUUCUCACUCAUUUCAAGCUCAAAGAUAUCCACCAUUUCCUCAUUCUUCACAUUUUCUCUCUGCCUGCAUUCCUCAUUAGAUGAUUUAGAUUUCUUAAUGAUUUUUCCCUGUUCAUAAGCCCCAUUUCCUGCUUUAGAUUUCUUCUUGCUUUCCUCAAUGUUAAAUGCUUCUCUUUCUUUCUUGCCAUGCUCAUGUAUUCUGGUAUCUUGUACCAAACUCUUUGUACUACUAUGAUUUAUGGGCUGAAUUAACUUUCCAGAUUCUUCUGUUCCCACCAAUUCAAAAAAUUCAGUUGCUUCUUUCCAUGUCCCAACUCCAGUACUUCUAUCUGAUUCUUGAGAUGACCUGGAUUCCUUGAUGUGCUUUUCCUCAAACAUUUGUAGAAGUCUUUCCUCUUCUAACGAUUCAAGAGUUUCUGGGGCAGCCUUCCUAGUUUUCUGCCUUUCAUCUGUGGCAGAAACUUUAUUUUUGCCAAUUCUCUGAUCACAAGUCGCCUGCAUUCCCUCGUCAUUCAAACUAUUAAAUCUAGUUAUAUUCACACUCACCUUUGCUUCAUUAUUUUUUACAUCAUAACUUGAAUGUACAUUGCUUUGGAAAACCCCUUUCUUCCUCUCCUUUAAUUCUUUGGCACUCCUAGGUUUUGCUUCCGGUCUGUGCAUGACUUCUUUGACAGCAGCAGCAGAUGAAUUCAUAUCAACCUCCACAUCAAGGAAGGGUGGCGAAGUGUCACCUAGAGUCUCUUCAGAAUCAACCCACUCAUUGUUUGAAUGAAAUCUACUAGUGAGCUCCUGUAUUGCAUCCAAUGCAGGUGGUGGCCGAGAAGGGGGUGGCACUUGAGAGGCUAGAGUUCUGAGGCUGAUGUCAGACACAGUUACGAAUGUCUCACUGGAAUGAGAACCAUUUCUGUUGCAUCCGUCAUGCCAAUCAAGAUCACCACCAAGAACCAGUUCACCAGAAUUAAAACUACCCGGUUGGGAAUCCAUUUUUCUCAGAUGGUUUCUCUUUGUCUGCCUUGCAUUAUAUUCCAUGUCAAGGUCAACAUCAUCAACGACCUGUAAGGAAGGAUCAGUCCUAUGAAAGUGUGUGGUUUCAUCAAAUACAUGAGUGAAUUCAAGAUCAGCACGCAGCUGACUUAUAUGACUUUUCCCCUUCGAUAUAUCUUCAUUGCUUGUACCAUCAACCUUAUGAUACGAAAUGUUGAACUCCGUACUUCCAUCAAAAGGCCGCAAAUGAUCUCCAUUUGACAUACCUUGAUUAUUUCCAAAAAGCUCCAAGUCUCCAGAAAAUGAGUGAGUUUCCACCGGUGACCUACAGAUUAUGAAAGAACACAAUUACAUCAUUGCAAUAAUCGAAUUCCAAUCUCAGUAAAUUUAAAUAUAUAUAGAAACCAAAGAUCAAAUAAUAGGUAUAAAGAAAACAAAAUCACGCAACGAAGAACUUCUACAAGCACGCACAAAAAUAUUGAAAAGCAGACAAAAAGCAUUUGGCAUAUACAAAAAAAAGUCCAUAUACCAAAUAUAUCUGAAAAUCCAAAGAAUUCACCGUUUAAUCGACGAAACCAUAAUUACCAUUUACCAUCCCUGUUUUAGUCAGGGGAGGGGAGUAAGAUUAAAACUUAAAAAAAAAAGAAAAAACGCAGCAUCUUCAAAUUUUUCUGUAAAAAGAAAAAGGAAUUUUAUCAGAGAAAUAAACCAUCGAAUAUUUGAAUUGAACAAUAACUCUAGUUCUUAUGAAAUAACCAGAAGCAGAACCAUAGUUCCCGUUACUUCUAAGAAAAUCUUCGCUUCAACGGCGAAACUAAAAUCACACACUAACACUAAACUGCAAAAACUUAAAAAACUCAAAAAUAAAAACAAGUUCGAUACACUAACGGAUCAUGCAUUUAAUCAAACAUUCAGAACCAGACGGUAAAGUGUAAACAUUAAGAGCACGAUCGCAUUCAUUCAUACCAGUCUUCUUCUUCUUCAUCAUCAUCAUCAUCUUCUUCUUCGGAGACACCGUGGCGAAACAAGUCUUCAUAGGAGAGCCAAAAGUCGAGGCCGUCGAAGCCACGGAAGAUUUCGGAGUAGUCGCGCGCGGCGUUUCGGAAGUCGAAGAAGACCUCGCCGGCGGCGUCGAGCGCCGGAAGAUCCAGCACCGGAAUGGCGGAGGCGCGCGGCUCGUGGAAGCUGGCGAAAAUCUCGCCGUAGUCCUCGAAGCACGGCGAGAGGGAGUGGUGGUGGCCGCCGGCGGUGAACUUCGCCGCUCCGCCGUAGACGUGGUCGUAUAGAGUUUCGGCUGGGAAACCGCCGGUGCCGGCGGUGAUUUUCUUGUCUGGAGGUUGCCGAGAAUGCGCCACGCUUUCCAUGAGAAGUAACGUUAGGGUUGUUGUGUUGUUGUUCUUACGCUUUGUCUCUAUUCGCUCGCUUCUUUUUUUUUGCUUCGUUUGUUUUUUUGGUUUCUCUCUCUUGCGCGUUCUGGCUCUGUGUGAGUGCAGACUCUGUUCGGCGUCAGAGGAGGAGGACGACGAAACGAGAAAAAAUGAGUGAUGAAAUUGAAAACGAAUGGGAAAAGGUAAUGACGCGAAAUGACCAAACCAGCCUUUCUUUUUUUGGUAAUAAAUUUGGUCUCCAUUAUUUCAACCAGCAUAAUCGAACUUAGAAAUGAUAACACUCCACUUUUUUUAGCCAUAUUUCUUUUUUCUGUAUAGCACAUGUAUAUUCAAGGACUCCAAUCCCAAAAUAUCUCUUAAGUUAAAAUAAUCUUAUAUUAGUUAAUUUAUGCAUUUGAUGGUUUUUAACCAUAUUAUUAGUUAUUAAUAUGAAUUAUUUAUUGCAUUUUCAAUAAAUAAUCUCAACUAAUAAGUUAGAUAUAUUUUUCCUUCACUCACUUUUUUUAGUUACAAGAUUCAAAUUUAAUAUUUUGUUUCAGUUUUAGCUAAACCAUUAACUUGUUAAAAAUAUAGUAUUCUCUUUAACACACUUUAUUAAGAAUUGAAAUUUAAUAAAAAAAUACAAAAAAUUAUAAAUUUUACUUUUUAUUUAAUAAAUUCACUCAAUUUUAUAAUUUAUAAUAGUAGUAAAUUUUAAUCAACAAUAAAACGUGUGUUACACAGUAUAUUGUCAAUACUUUUCUAAGACUAAAAUAAUGCAUGUACUUUAUAGUUUAUAACUUUAUAUUAUUAGUAUAUGUUAUUUAAUCACAAAUGAUUAAUGAUGAAUUUUUUUUGUAUAAUGACUAUAAAUAAAAGUUAAUUAUUUUUUUCCAAUCCACUAGUCAUCAGAGAAUUAAACUUUAUUUUGAUUGUUCAUUAGCUUUACCUCUAAUAUUAGAUUAGAUAUGCUGAUAUGGCAGCAAAAUAUUUAGGUAGACACAAUAGUGUCGUAUUAGUAGUUUUAUUAAAUAUUGGACCACAAUGUUAUAAUUAAAAUAGUAAGAGACUUAAUUAUAAAAAAAUAGUAAGAGACUUUCUAAAAAGAAAAUAAUAUAAAUAAAAAGGAGUUAAUUUGAGGGGGAAAAUGUGCGAAAUCAAAUGAAAAAAAAAAAAGAUAGAGGACCGAGACUAAAAUUACAAUUACAGCAUUAAAAAAAUUACAGUUAUUAAUUAAUUUUAAACAAAAAAAAAAAGUUAUGCGAUGGUGCAUCCGCAGGGAUAUUUUUUCGUUUUCUUUGGUCCCAAAAUUAAAAUAAAGUAACUGAUUGGAAUAAUUAAAAUACGGAAAUGUAAGUGGUUUGCGUUAACAACGCGGGAAAGAUGAAGAGUUGUUAAGGUUAACGUUAGUAAGAUGGAGACAUGCUUCGCUACUUUAACGCAUAAAAGAUCUUCUAACAUCGCAGAUAAAUAUAUAUUAAUUUAAAAGAAGAAUACAGUGAUUUUUUUUAAUUUUUUGUUUUUGGUUUACUUUAGACCUUAUUUCAGUCACUUUUGUUUAAAACGAUGUAUAAUCAGUAUAUAAUAAAAAUGAUUUUAAUAAAACUCUUUGCACACCUGGAUAUCGACUAUUUAAGAAAGUGUUUUGAUUGAAGUUUGAAUACAAUAUUUUCAUCGUAUGUUAAAAAAAUUGGAAAAGGUUUAUGUUAAUUAUGUUAUCACCAUGAAAUCCUUCGGCAUAUUUUUAACCAGUAAGUAUUUCAAGCAACGCAUGGAUAUGAUUAUAAAAAUCUAAAAAAAUAAAUUAAGAAUAUUAAAUAAAAUUAAUUUUAUUGAUCAAUAAUUAUUUUAACGAUGAUAGAUAUAAAUAUAUAUAUAUAUAUAUAUAUAUAUAUAUAUAGAGAGAGAGAGAGAGAGAGAGAGAGAUUUAGGUCAAAUAUAUAGAUAUUUAAAACUUUUAAAUUUUUAAAUUCUCAAGUUUUUCUAAUUAAUAAAAAUGUAUAUUUAGGAUUUACAAAUCACCAUUCUUUCAUAUUUAAUUUUGAUUAAAGAAAAUUAAAUAUUUAUUAAUGGAAUUACAUAAAGUUAAAAUCUCUAAGAAAGAAACCAAUGCUAUUAAUUUGAUUUGAUUUAGUGUAAAAAUUUAUGACACGUAUCAAAACAUAAGAAGACACUUGACUUUAGGAGAAGAGUAUGAUAAAGUUUUAUUAUGAAGAUGAAGAAUGAGCUCUUAAAUUUAAUGUAUAAAUAAAUAUAAAUUUCAUAACAAAAACUCAAACAAACAACCCUAAAAUCCUUGGCAGAAUAAAUUUUUGAUCAGAUUUUACACGUUGAAUUUUGUAUAGUUCAUAAAAUCGAAUAAAUGAAUAUUAGUACCAGAUUAUUUCAAUUUUCUACAGACAAGUGCUGUGGUGUUUGUUGUAUUAUUUUGGUGGGAAUCUAGGGGACCUUUUGUUUUUGCUACAAAACAAAACCGAGAGACCUUUGAAGCAUAGAGACAAAGGUGACGCACUGAUCCAACGUAGGACUGUAGGAGUCAGAUUUCUUGUGUCUAAUCUAAACUAUACUCAGUUGAAAGAUCCUCAGUACAAUGCUACUCGUCUUUAAUAUAUUUUUUUAAUUGCUACGAACUGAAUUUCCUAAAAUUUUGGGAAUGGAUAAUACGAUUAUUAUUUGAAUUUUAAAUUAAAAAAUCAUAUAUUUUGAAAAUAAACACAUUCAGGACUAACUUUUCUGACACACUUUAGUUAUCUUUAAUAUUUUUCACAAUAAAGUAAAAAAAAAGUUUUAUAGAUAAACAAUAUAAAAUAAUUUUAUAUUAUCAUAUAGUAUAAUAAAUUUAUUAAUUUUUAUAAUAAUCAUUUUAAAAAUCAUAAUAAUAGUUAUUUAUUAUUGAUUGAUGGCUAUCAAAAAUUUUACAUCAACCAUAUAUAAGUAUAAAACAAUAAUUUAUAUCCCAUGUUCCUGGUAAAUUGUCGUGAGAGUUGUUUGAGGUUGCUAUAUCGCUGUGUUCUAUGCACCAUGGGGUUUAUUUUAUUUAUCUACUACGCACUAUGGCAAUACAUGGUUCAAAAUUCAAAUGUUGACUCAGAGAUCAUUGUCCAUUGGAGUUGUAUACGAAAUAAUUUAUACAUCAGUGAGCUUUUAGGUGUAUUGUAAGUUUAAUUUCAUUUGAUUUAGAUACCCUCAAAGUAAAGCGAAGGUUAACACAUUAGGUAUAUGAUGUUUACAGCCUUAAAAAAUGAAUUGAGAUUCCAGUUUGCUUUCUUUGUGAGAUAUACAUUCCAAAAAAAAUCACUCCUUCAAAGAACUUUCAUUAAUACGAAACUCUUGACGUUUGGUUAAUGUUAGAAAAAUCAACUUUUCCGGAGUCUUAUGUUUUACAUGUGCAACACCAAAUUAAUUAAUUCCCAAAAUGUGAUCCACACAUAUGUUGGCACAAAUAAUAUGCACAAAAGUUUAAUCCAGAAAUGCACCCAAAUGCAUCACAUAGUAGUAAAAAAAAUGCUAUAUAGGCACACUAAUACGCAGUACAUAUGUAGGUUAGGACCAGCAAAUGGAGUCCCAAAUUGCACCCAAAUGUAAAACAACACCAAUGUGCACCAAAAUGUAACACUACUAUGUAGUAGUCCCAAAUGCAGAACAUGUGCAGCACCAAUAUACACUAAAUGCAAAUUAAUAUGCACCAAAAUGUUGUAUAUUUACAUUAAUAUACAGCACUAAUACACCAAAGUGCAGUCCCACGAUGAACCAAAACCAUAAAUUAGUCAUAUGCAAAAUUAUAAACUGGACCUAUGUCUUUCCACACACACAUGACACACCCCACCCCCAACCCCCAUUCUAGCGGUAUUACGCCUACAACUACCUCUAUGGUGAAGUUGAAAGUAUGUAAAUAUACACAUGUUCAUAAUAACUUUUUUUUUCUUCUAAGUAAGUAGAGUUUACUAGUGUUUUCUGGCUUGGUUUUGGCACCUCUUGUGCUCAAAAUGAGUGUUAUUAAUAAUAUUUUCAUCUUUUUCCUUUGAGAAAAAAAGUAGAGUUUACUAGAUAAAUUAUACAGAAUUAAUUUCUUUAAUAAAAGUUCACACAGUGAUAUACACAUUCCCGUAUAAAUACAUGUAGCACACCAAAAUGAAAAUUUAGUUUUCUACUCUACCUGUUUCGCUAUUACAGAUUCACAGUUGUAAUCCAUUCUGUUAUUGAGUAAUUAUUUUAUUGAAUUACUAUCACUUUCCACUAAAGAAUCACAGUCACAUCAGCAUACAACAAAAGAAUUACUAUCACUAUCCAAUAUUCGAUUCAUCUUGUUUUCAGCAGCUAUAGAAUGAAUGCUACGUCGGCAAAAGUAGUUGUUGAGAUGACACUAUGAUCAUAUAUAUGGAAUAAAGUUUUAAUUCAUAAUCUUAUUGAAACAGUUUUGAUCCAUAGAAUAGAGCCAGUACAUCAGAUAUCAUGAUAAACUCACAUUUUCUGCCAAUCAUUAUCCGAAAUGGCAUUUUUAAAAUAAAAUUUUAGAAAAGAAAAAAAUGUUUGGCCUUAAUAAUAUAUCUUCCCGAAGUCACGCCCAACCAAUAUAAAACAGGAAAAUAUGCCUGAGAAGAAGUAUCCUAAAAAGGCUAUAAAAGUAUAUUCAAUGAAAACUUGAGUAACAAGUUUAAAAAAUUAUAUAAAAUGAUCUAUGUACAUCUAAUACGCACACGCGCGCAUGCGCCAUGAUCGUAGAACAAAGAUUAUGUUUAUUACUUCAUAAAAAAAGAAAAUCAUUAUGAUUAUUCCCAUAAUACAUUAGAAUUCAACUACAUAAUUAGUGGUACAGAUAUAUUAUCUUGAAAAAAAUGACACACCACAAAUAUGUUUCGUAUACUCAAUUAAUCGCGUAAGCACAAAACAGGGAUACCACUCAGCAAAAAAAAACAAAAACAAAAUAAAACAGCUAGGGAUACAAAAAUGAAAACGACUUUUGAUUUUUGAAUAUUAUAAUCUUAUAUCUCGCCCUUUGGGUCAGUUUUUUUAAUUUUUUUUAGAUAAGUAUUAUUCACAGAAGAAAAUUCUCUUUAAGUUGAAUAAAAUUAUAAUAUAGGAUAAAAAAAUUUCUUCCAGUUAUUUAGUGCAAUUGCACAUCAAGAUUCAAACUCAAGAUCAUUUGUGAAGUAAAAAUAAUUUUACAUUCUUUAAUUCAUGUGUUUGAUAUAAUAACUUUGAUCACUUCUAACUCAGUUCCAAAAUUUGAUUCAUUAAUAAGGAUUAUUUUUUAUUUAUACAUUAUUUUGAACAUAUUAUUUUUUCUUGAUAUCUUGAGAGUGAAAUUUACAUAAAACAUAUACAUGUGAUUUAAUGAUGACAUGAUAAUAAAUAAUACAACGGAUAAACCUAACAAUACCUAUUAAGAUAGGUUUUUGAAACUAUCUUGUAAUUUGAGUAUUAGUCUAUCUCGAUUUUAAAAGCUAACACAUGAAUUAAGUGUUGUAGUUUUUAGAGACAUGAUUUACAUGCAUGUAUUGUUGGGGAAAAAAAUUAUUUAAAAUUAUUUUAAUAUGUGUGCUAUUUCAAUAAUAGAAUUUUUUUUUCUUUUUUGGGAAAUUGAUUGUAAAAAUAUAAAAAAAAACUUGAGUGUUUUCUUAUAAAGUAUUAUAUUCCUGUUUUAUACUAUUCGAUCAGCGUGAAAAUAAUUCUUCUUUUUUUAACAAAUAUUUUAUUUUUCUUUUUUAUUAUUUUAUUGUGAAGAUAAAUACAUUUUUUGGAUAAAAUAUUUAAAUAUAAUUUAUUUCUAUUUUUUAAUAAAGUUUCUUUGUAUAUAAUCCGUUAUUUCUGUUUUAAAUACUAUAAAUGGUUGCAUUUGCAAUCAAAUUACAUAAUUAACCUUUUCUUUAUAUUUUUUUACAAAUGAUUUCAAAAUUUAAAUUUAUUCAAUAAUCUUUGUCAAUACAAGACUCUGAUAGCUUAAACAUUCAGAUAUAGUAAUAAAUAUUCUCUUUUCUUAUUAUCAUUGUUUUUUGUAUCCUUGAGUGCAUGGGUUCAAAUAUGUCUUUGUGUAAAACUUGAAAAAGCAAACCAAAUAUCUGAAAAUAAACCUUGAUGAGAUGUGAGAUGAUAUUAGUAAUAUUAACCCUUUAAAAAAUGUUUAAUUUAUCUUUUAUAAAUAUAUUUUCUAUUAACAUGCUUUUGAAUCAUUUUAAAGAACACGCAAUUAUAAAUAUUUUAUAUAAAAUUAAUAUAUAUAUAUAUAUAUUGUUUGGAUGAAUUUUAAUUUUUUAAUUAUUUUUUCCUAUUAGGUAAGUCUACUUCUAUGCACGUUACCCUCUAAUUAUAUAUGUUAUUUUAAUCAUAUGAUUAGUCAAUCUCUAACAUAAAAAAAAGAUUCGUUAAUUUUAUCACUAAUUAAAAUUAAGAGCGAAGGACGAAAAUGAAAGCAAUUUUCUAAGGAACCUUUUAUUUUUCAGUUGGAUAUAUAAUUUAAGAUAAGACAAUGAACAUAUUAAAUGUGAGAAAUGAAAUGGUAGAGGGUGCACGCAGCUUGAGCUGGCAAUAUAUCGAUGGAAGCUGGUGGAUGGUGAGGUUUGGCAAUCUUUCUAACAAAAUACAUCGUAAAUAAUGGAAUUGACAUGCAUCAUAUCCAUAUUGGGGUAGGUAUAUCAAUAUCACCUUGAGAAGGUUCUGAUAGUGAUAGUGAUUUACAGCAUUAAAUUUGAAGGCUAACUGUCUCCAAUAGAUGUUAAAAGCUGUAGCCAUUGCUGAGUGGACGAGAAUUAGGGACCCCACUAGCUGAAUUAAUGGUUGCUUUCAGAUCAAUGUUGAUUUGAACUAGGGACUUGCAAUGAGUGAGGUAAAUACUAAAUAGCUAAUAGAGAUCAGAGAUAAUUUUACUUGCUAAAAGUAAAAUAUAAUCCAUGGCAUUAAUCAUUCUAGCUGUUCACACAUCUUUAUAUUGCCUAUCUGAAUUUUAUAUUUGGUAGUAUGCUUAUCCAAAUUUCAAAUUUGGUUACAAAACAUCCAUCAUGAUUUUAGUGCAUGAAUUCAAAAGGAAAAGAACGCGUUUCUUCGGUUGCAAUAUACUAAUAUUUAAUGAAAGAUUUCAGCAUGGCAUGUUUUCUUGCUCCGGGGAUUUUAAUAAUCUGAGAUGAAACAUCAUGCACUUUUUCCCUGCUGCCUAACACAUAUAUAUAGGCACAUUAUUUAUUUUUAUAUAUAUGUGGGUGCAUGUUUUUCAAUUAAUUAAAUUAUCAUGAAACAGUCAAACAUUGCCGGUUGCUGAAGAAUUCUUCAACAUAUAAGUAGGUAUAAUACCAUUACUUGUGUUAUACUAUAUAUGUUUCUUACCCUAUAUUAAUUAAUAGAUAUCUUUCCAAGAUAUGGCAAGCACUAAACGCAAUUAGUGGUUUUUGUCAUACAUGAAUCUUGAGUUUGAGAAUACAAUCAUAUGUUUAAACGUUAUGGAAUUAGGCUAACGAUCGAGAUUAUUAACAUUGUGUCUCUCAUUAUUAACUAAAGUUCAUAAAGUUCUUUAAUGUAAAAAAAAAGUUUAUAAAGCUUUAUCAUGUUUAAGUUUAAUAAUAUAAUUUUAAGGACUUUUGUAGUUUUUUAUGUGUCCUUAGAAAUUAUUUUACGUAAAUUAGGAAUGUCAUUGACUAAAAUUACUAAACUAUUUUAUAAAAUAAGAAAAUCGAAAAAAUAAUAAAAUAAUACUGAUACUCAUCAAUAUAAAAAUGCACACUACAAAAAAAAAUACUAUGCUUGGAGCUUGGAAGAGACAAUGAUGGAGCACAAGUACACUAAAAAGAAUGAACCUGGUCUUGGGAAUCUCAAAUUCUGAAUACAAUUUAAUAUUAAGUUUAUAGUAUGUAUAAUUUUUUUCGUGGAUUGAUCAGCCAAAUAACAUUGAGGUGUCUUCUUUAAAUCUUAUCGUCACUUUCGUGUUUGCCUCCCAAUAACCUGUCAAGGCACGAGGCAUCAACAAUCAACCACCAUAUAAUAAGCUACCCACUUCCACAAUUUCAUAUGCAAUAUUUUAUAUAAAUUAUUAUAUGCAAAAUUGUACAUGUUUUUGUUUUAUCAAAUUUAUUUGAGUUUUUAAAUAAAUAUAUAAUUUAAUAACCAUAAAAUACUUUUAUCUUCUUAAAUAUUAUAUAAGCAACUUUCUGCACUUAUUCUUAGUUCUGUGCUUUAAAAAUUAAAACGAAUUCUUUAAUAAUUUCAUGUUCCUAAGAUUCAAAGGGUUCUUCUUUCUAGUAACUAAAACAGAUUCAAAGAUGUUAAGCUUAUGUAAGAAAAGAAAAGAGAACUAAAGAAAAGUAAGAUUCAAAUCUAACCAAAACGGUUUCAAUGUUUUUUCACUGGUGACCAAUCACAUUCCAGUGAGCUUUCCGUCCUUGUGGUUGUUCCGACAUUUUGGAUGAACGAGAGUAUCUCUUAUUAUCUUCAGUCGAAAACUAAAACUUAAUCUUUCAAAAUAUUAAAAUUUAUUUGAGAGAUUAAUAUAUUUUAAUAUAUUUUUUCAUCAUAAUCAUAAAAAAUUAAACUUAUAAAUAAUUAUAUAUCUAAGAUAUAAAAUUAUUUAUCAAUUAUAUCAUAUGAAAUUAAUGAUUAUUCUGUCAUUUAAGUCAAAUGAUUUUUUUCACUGUUUGUUUAAGAAGAUUUGAAUUCAAGAAAUCAUAGAAGAUAAUAGGGUCCACUUGAUGGUUGAUACCAUAUAACCAAAAAUCCAAAGAAAAAGGAGGGGAUUAGUGGGUCCUUGUGUCCUCUACUUUAAUAUUGAGUCACGUAUACCAAAGCUCGUAUUCGCAGACUCAUCAUGCUGCCACUUACUACUACUCAAUUUCUUUGUUUCAUACUACUCAAUUUCUUUUUGUUUAAUAAUGUGAGUAUUAAUCAUACUACCACCACUCCUAUCCAUAUAAGAAAACGUUAUACGUACACAAAAAUCUUAGUCAUAAUCUUAUACAUAUAAAGAAAAUCUUCUAAUAAUCAAUUAUGUCGUUUGUUUUUAUAUUGCUGCCCAACUUAUACAAGUUAUUGAUCAAAUUAUGAGGACUUUCAGGCCUUCUUAACGUCAAUUACCUUACUAUGUAUAUUUAAAUUAACAAAAGGUUAAGUCUAGAGUGAAUUAUAAUUAAUUAUGAAAAUCGAUAUUUAUAAUAUUUGUAAAUUCUAGAUUAUUCUCUUUGGUUAAGCUGUUUUUCUAAAAAAAGAAUUGUCUAUAUAUAAGAUAUGACAUUAUUUUUAAAGAAAUUGUCUGUCAGAAAUGACAUAUAAAUAAUACAAGUUUGGCUGGUAACUUUAUUGCAGAUCCUGGACUCGGGUUGAUGCUUAUAAACUAUGUGAAGUUGUGAACUAUGACUACAAGUUCUGUUUUACACCUUUCAAAUAAUGUAAUACGUGCAAAACCUUUUUUUUCUUCUUCUUGUUUUAGGUAAAGCAUAAACAUCUAGAACACUGUUGGGGAGCACGAAAGAAAUUAUUAACGGAGACAUACGAUGAUGACUUGACUAGCUAGCUCCUUUGUUUUGCGCAACAUUAUAGCAUGAAGCAAAAAAAAAAAAAAAAAAAUGAUUGAAUAUUGGGUCCAUUUAAAAUUAAAUUAUAAAUGCUGUGAAUAAUGAAAUCCCUUGGUCAACCAUGGUGGUCCGAGAGUGGCAUAGCACUUUCUGAGUCUCCGAAUGAACAAACAACCCAGUUUUUAAGAAAGAAAAAAAGUGCCAAGUGCUCAUAAAGUUAAUUAAUAGGAAGAAUAAAAUUAUAUUUCCUUAAAUUUACAUCUAAUCCUUUGUCGUCCCAGGUUCGAUUCCCGGCAAUGGAACCUUUUACAGUUUUCUAUUUUGUUAUCAUUUUUUUUCACAAUUUUCUGUAACCAAAAGAAUCAGACGUAAGAAGGUAUCUCUUCUAAAAUAAAAUAAAAAUUGGACUAAUUGUGAGUUUUUAUUUUUUAAAUGUAAUUUUUAAAAUAAAAUGUGUUUGGAUUAGUCCUGAGUUUUUAGGUGCUUUGUUUUAUGGAUAGAUUUUUUAAUCUUGAGAAUAUAAAGGGAAAAAAUAAUCUUACUUUUAUUACGAAAUAAUAAAAUAAUUAAUUUUAGGUAUAUAUUUUGACAAAAAUUUCUAUUGAGUAAAAAAUUAAAAAUACACAUAUAUCUUAUUUAUAUUACUCUUCACUUAAUGAUUCAUUCAUUUAUAUUCUCUAAUUUUUGUCAUUCUCAAAAUUUGUAUUCAUGUGUCAAUUUAAAUUUUCAUAUAUAUUGGAAAGAAUCAUGAAAUAUAUAUAUAUAUAUAUAUAUAUAUAUAUAUAUAUAAAGUUAUAUAUUUAAUAUAAUAUAUUAUGAUUACAUUUAUUAAUAAUAAAUAUAAUGAAUGCAUACAUGAUCUUAGAAAAAUGUACAGGUAUGCAGAAGUAGAACAAUGAUCAUAAAGUAUUCUUGCCGUGAUUUCUCUCUAUCCCGAGUAUCCUUUACAGUUUACCCAAUUCUUUGUCCGCAACAUAUACCGAUAACUACUAUUAACUAUCUGAAACUCAAAACUUAAUCAAGAACUUGUCUUUGUCUGGCUUUACAAAAUCAUACGUCUUCAAACUGUUUGGAGAGUCACUUCAGAAGUGAGGGUGGUCAACCAAUCCAAUAAAGCCUUGUUCACAAGCUCUGGUGUCUCAUCAUGUGGACAAUGCCCAGCCUGCAAGUUCACAAGAGUUGUUUUUGGAUAGAACUCUUUGAUUCGAUUCGCUUUGGCUGGACUAACCCACGGAUCAAGGUCACCCCAGAGCAGCAACAACGGGAAGAGAGUUCACUUAAGACAGCAUCUAGAGUGUAUUUUCUCUGAUUCAUCAUGAAGCGUGUCAUUAACCUGUUGACAACAUUGGGUGAAGUAGUGAAAACAAAUAAACAGGAAUAAUUAGGAGAAGAAACUGAUGAUUAAAACACCACUCAGGCAACUAAAAUGGCUGAUUUGUUGGUUUAGAGCAUAAGCAUCCCCUCUGCUUAUGUACAUUGCUAAAGCCUGAGAAACCAAGUUUCUUUAACCAUAUCUAUCACGACGAAAGCCAAAAUAGAAUUUUAUAGCAUAUUAUUAAUAUUAAGAACUAAUGUUGAAGUAUGGGAUUCUGAUGUGGGAUUUAUAAGGUCUUGAGCUUUCUAACUACAAUGGUUAGUUUUUGUAGUACAAUUCUCCCAAGGUUCUUAUCAAUUAGUAAUAUAGCAUUUUAUUAUGUCUCUCAGCUUCAUGCGUGGGCGCAGGGGCUGUAGAGCAUGGGAUACAAUUGCAAGGAAUGUAGAGCAUGGUGGGAUUCUGGAAUCCAAUUGUAAGGAAUGAGACUUAAAAGCCAUUGGCUCAAAUGUGCAUUCACGUUGGGAAAACUGGUUUCCAAACACACACUCACAUUUUUGUGUUGUAAUUCUCCCAAUGUUCUUAACACACAUUAAGGCUGAUUAGAAUGGAUAUGAUCAUGUACCUGUAGUAAACUUCUCCGGCAUUUGGAUCUUGAGCUGGCCUUGUUAUAGAUUCCACGAGAUAGUCAUCCACAUUGGAAGAAUUUAUAUACACCUGUAUUGACAAAUUAAGCACUAAAACAUUAAUAUACAAUGCCACAAAAUUAAUAUGAAUGCGCUUGAUUGGCAAAUCAACAACUAGUAAGAAUAAGAAAACAAAAUAAAAAGCAGUCCCACCAAAGACAAAAGCCUCCAUGGAUAUGAUUCUUAUUCUUAAGAUUAAAAAUCCAGCCAUUUGGGUAAUACAAAUAUACUUUUAAUGAGAAGAUAGCAAGUAACAUACACUUUUUAGAACUGACAGAAUCCGAGCUGGUUGCUUUGCCUGCCAGAAUAAAAAUCCAAGAACCACACGCUGGAAAACUUCCUUCAAAGGUUUUAGGACAAACUUUUGUAGAGCUGUUUCUUCAGAAGUUUUAGUCUCCCUUUUCCCAUCACCAAAUUGCCCAGCAGAAUUUAGUAGAGCAACACCAUUGGCAAGAUCAGGCAACCCAGUUGCUGCAACCAAAGCCGUAAAUCCUCCAAGGCUGAAAAAUUAUCAUGAUUGAGGUAAACAUCAUAUUUUUUGUUUUUUAUUGCACAUAAUGGAAAAUUUUCAAUUUCAUAGAAAAACAAAUUUGCUAUUUACUACAAAUAAGAUGGUGGUCCUGCAGCUGUCGACUCAUCAAUUCAUUUGACAACUCAGAAGUAAGGAAAAGAUAAACAUUUCAACAACCAAAUUCAACAACAUAAUACUU